This 492-nucleotide ribosomal RNA is filed under the name uncultured bacterium. RNAcentral describes it as "partial 16S ribosomal RNA". It matches the Rfam family "Bacterial small subunit ribosomal RNA", at positions 29 to 507 of the family's 1533-position model. The record is from RNAcentral.
AUUGAACGCUGGCGGCAUGCUUUACACAUGCAAGUCGAACGGUAACAGGCCUUCGGGUGCUGACGAGUGGCGAACGGGUGAGUAAUGCAUCGGAACGUACCCAGAGGUGGGGGAUAACGCAGCGAAAGCUGUGCUAAUACCGCAUGUGAUCUGAGGAUGAAAGCGGGGGACCGAGCAGCAAUGUUUGGCCUCGCGCCUUUGGAGCGGCCGAUGUCGGAUUAGCUAGUUGGUGGGGUAAAGGCCUACCAAGGCGACGAUCCGUAGCUGGUCUGAGAGGACGACCAGCCACACUGGAACUGAGACACGGCCCAGACUCCUACGGGAGGCAGCAGUGGGGAAUUUUGGACAAUGGGCGCAAGCCUGAUCCAGCAAUGCCGCGUGCGGGAAGAAGGCCUUCGGGUUGUAAACCGCUUUUGGCAGGAACGAAACGGUGUCCGCUAAUACCGGGCGCUAAUGACGGUACCUGCAGAAUAAGCACCGGCUAACUACGUG